Molecule: ribosomal RNA, 293 nt
Filed under: uncultured Desulfobulbus sp.
Lineage: Bacteria; Pseudomonadati; Thermodesulfobacteriota; Desulfobulbia; Desulfobulbales; Desulfobulbaceae
Description: partial 16S ribosomal RNA
Rfam family: Bacterial small subunit ribosomal RNA
Source: RNAcentral
CAACGAGCGCAACCCUUGCCUUUAGUUGCCAGCAGUUCGGCUGGGCACUCUAAAGGGACUGCCGGUGUUAAACCGGAGGAAGGUGGGGAUGACGUCAAGUCCUCAUGGCCUUUAUGACCAGGGCUACACACGUACUACAAUGGCCGAUACAAAGGGCAGCGACACUGCGAGGUGAAGCCAAUCCCGUAAAAUCGGUCUCAGUCCGGAUUGGAGUCUGCAACUCGACUCCAUGAAGUUGGAAUCGCUAGUAAUCGCGCAUCAGCCAUGGCGCGGUGAAUACGUUCCCGGGCCUU